AGUGAACGCUGGCGGUAGGCCUAACACAUGCAAGUCGAACGGCAGCACAGUAAGAGCUUGCUCUUACGGGUGGCGAGUGGCGGACGGGUGAGGAAUACAUCGGAAUCUACUUUUUCGUGGGGGAUAACGUAGGGAAACUUACGCUAAUACCGCAUACGACCUACGGGUGAAAGCAGGGGAUCUUCGGACCUUGCGCGAUUGAAUGAGCCGAUGUCGGAUUAGCUAGUUGGCGGGGUAAAGGCCCACCAAGGCGACGAUCCGUAGCUGGUCUGAGAGGAUGAUCAGCCACACUGGAGCUGAGACACGGUCCCGACUCCUACGGGAGGCAGCAGUGGGGAAUAUUGGACAAUGGGCGCAAGCCUGAUCCAGCCAUACCGCGUGGGUGAAGAAGGCCUUCGGGUUGUAAAGCCCUUUUGUUGGGAAAGAAAAGCAGCAGGUUAAUACCCCGCUGUUCUGACGGUACCCAAAGAAUAAGCACCGGCUAACUUCGU
Molecule: ribosomal RNA, 491 nt
Filed under: uncultured bacterium
Lineage: Bacteria
Description: partial 16S ribosomal RNA
Rfam family: Bacterial small subunit ribosomal RNA
Source: RNAcentral